ACUCCAGCUUGACUGUAGUGUAGAAAGAAGAGUUAUUAGUGUCCUGGACAAGAAGCUCAGGACAUUUACCAGGUCUGAUCUUCUCAUUUUCUCUGGCAGGUAGUCAGAGCAGCUGGAUACAGGCUCCCACAGCCAGACACCUGCAUCACCAGGCUCACCGGGGCCUGCCACCCUCCUCACUGAGGACACCCAGGAUGAUGUUCUCCAGCCCUGUCUGCACCCCUAGCUGUGACCAGCCCCGAACCUUGGCCUGCCAAAGCAGGAGACCCUCACAAGUUCUGCACCUAAUGGAAGAAUCUUUCCAUUGUUUUCCUGCCUGAAGGACAAGAAUGUUUUCAGGUUCCUCCAGGAGCAGCCAGUUGCAAAUAGCUCAGGCCACCUCUUUCUCCAUGCAGUAAUCUAGCAGAUCUUCAACUUUUUCAGCAGAGAGGGAUGAUAAUCCUCAUUGGACUGAUCAGCAGCUAGAAUUGUUGGAGACCUGUUUGGUGCAGAAAAUGAGAUGGAAAGACUUUCUGAGCAAUGAGGACUCCAGCCAGACUUUGAAGAACUCCUUCCAAAGUACCAGCCUCAGGGAAUUCCCUGGUGCUCCAGUGGUUUGGACUCGGCGCCUUCACUGCUGUGCCUCGGAUUCAGUCCCUGAUCCCACAAGCUGCUGGACGUGGCCAAAAACAACAAAAAAGGACAAAAAAAAAAAAACCCAAAAUAAACACAAAGUACCAGGGUCGAUCUGAGAAGCAAAGUUCACAACUGCUGUGCCUGGGACAUUGUCAUACUGGAAGUUAAGACAUGAAAAUCAGUAAAUGCUUUCUUUGUAUUAAUAAGCUCAUCAGAAAACUCAGGAAGUUGAAAAGGAGACUUAAGCUUCCACAGUAUGUCUCAUCUACAGUCCUCCCUCAGUACCCGAAGGGGAGAGGUUCCCGGACCUCCACGGAUACCUUGGAUCUUCAAGUUCCUUAUAUAAGCUGGAAUCAUUCUGAAGAACUAAGCCUUCUGGAAUUGUCCCUCUGGUGUCACAGAGGUUUUGCACCCUGAGGCAGUGCGCCAGGCUGAGGCUUGGAAUGGGUAAUCUACAGAAAUACUACUCUUGACAAGUGGGAAAAAAAUUAAAUAUGGAUUUUUAUCUGGUUUUAAAAUGGAAUGUUUUUCUUAAUGCACAUGCAUUUGAUAAUUAGGAAAAAAGCACCUUACAUAUUAUUUUCUAAUACAUACAGAUUUUAGAAAACUUGGAGAAAGCCAUAAUGAAAGUAGUGUGUGCCUUUGGAAACUGAACUUACUUCCUUUUAUCAUCCAGAUUUUAGCUUAAGUUCUGACAUAUUUGCAAAGUAUUUGACAAAUGUCUGUACAUAUAUAAAUUCAUAAUAUACCUAGUAUUAACAUGUUACUUUUGACAUGUGGAAUCACUGAUAAUUUACACCCUCUGUUCACUUUCAUUUUCCUGUACUUACUGUAAUAGGAAUUAUUUUUAUAAUCAGGAAACUUAACAAAAGCUUAUUUUUGAAACUAUCAGAAAAACUAAAACAAGAAAUAAAAUGUUAACAGAAUGCUUUACAUGCUUGCAGCUUUU
Lagenorhynchus albirostris (white-beaked dolphin) is the source of this 1564-nucleotide long non-coding RNA. RefSeq lists it as uncharacterized. The transcript is spliced from 4 exons. NCBI's taxonomy places the organism in Eukaryota, Metazoa, Chordata, Mammalia, Artiodactyla, Delphinidae. The record is from RefSeq and is a predicted model, not a curated record.